Molecule: ribosomal RNA, 467 nt
Filed under: uncultured bacterium
Lineage: Bacteria
Description: partial 16S ribosomal RNA
Rfam family: Bacterial small subunit ribosomal RNA
Source: RNAcentral
ACGAACGCUGGCGGCGUGCUUCACACAUGCCAGUCGAACGGAAAGGCCCUGCUUUUGUGGGGUUCUCGAGUGGCGAACGGGUGAUUAACACGUUAGUAACCUGCCCUUGACUUUGGGUUUACUUCAUGAAACUGGGGCUAAUACCGGAUAGGAGCUCCUUCUUCAUGGUGGUGGUUGGAAAGUUUCGGCGGUUGGGGAUGGACUGGCGGCUUAUCAGCUUGUUGGUGUGGUAGUGGCUUACCAAGGCUUUGACGGGUAGCCGGCCUGAGAGGGUGACCGGCCACAUUGGGACUGAGAGACGGCCCAGAGUCCUACGGGAGGCAGCAGUGGGGAAUAUUGCACAAUGGGAGGAAGCCUGAUGCAGCAACGCCGCGUGCGGGAUGACGGCCUUCGGGUUGUAAACCGAUUUAGCAUGUGACGAAGCGUGAGUGACGGUAAUGGGUAAAGAAGCACCGGCUAACUACGUG